AACGAACGCUGGCGGCAUGCCUAACACAUGCAAGUCGAACGAAGCCUUCGGGCUUAGUGGCGCACGGGUGCGUAACACGUGGGAAUCUGCCCUUAGGUACGGAAUAACAGUUAGAAAUGACUGCUAAUACCGUAUGAUGACUCCGGUCCAAAGAUUUAUCGCCUAAGGAUGAGCCCGCGUCGGAUUAGCUAGUUGGUGAGGUAAAGGCUCACCAAGGCGACGAUCCGUAGCUGGUCUGAGAGGAUGAUCAGCCACACUGGGACUGAGACACGGCCCAGACUCCUACGGGAGGCAGCAGUGGGGAAUAUUGGACAAUGGGCGAAAGCCUGAUCCAGCAAUGCCGCGUGAGUGAAGAAGGCCUUAGGGUUGUAAAGCUCUUUUACCCGGGAUGAUAAUGACAGUACCGGGAGAAUAAGCUCCGGCUAACUCCGUGCCAGCAGCCGCGGUAAUGUC
RNAcentral lists this ribosomal RNA (453 nucleotides) under uncultured bacterium. RNAcentral's name for it is "bacterial SSU rRNA". It matches the Rfam family "Bacterial small subunit ribosomal RNA", at positions 29 to 526 of the family's 1533-position model. The record is from RNAcentral.